RNAcentral lists this ribosomal RNA (397 nucleotides) under uncultured Serratia sp. RNAcentral's name for it is "bacterial SSU rRNA". It matches the Rfam family "Bacterial small subunit ribosomal RNA", at positions 40 to 433 of the family's 1533-position model. Lineage: Bacteria; Pseudomonadati; Pseudomonadota; Gammaproteobacteria; Enterobacterales; Yersiniaceae. The record is from RNAcentral.
CGGCAGGCCUAACACAUGCAAGUCGAGCGGUAGCACAAGAGAGCUUGCUCUCUGGGUGACGAGCGGCGGACGGGUGAGUAAUGUCUGGGAAACUGCCUGAUGGCGGGGGAUAACUAGUGGAAACGGUAGCUAAUACCGCAUAACGUCGCAAGACCAAAGUGGGGGACCUUCGGGCCUCACGCCAUCAGAUGUGCCCAGGUGGGAUUAGCUGGUAGGUGGGGUAACGGCUCACCUAGGCGACGAUCCCUAGCUGGUCUGAGAGGAUGACCAGCCACACUGGAACUGAGACACGGUCCAGACUCCUACGGGAGGCAGCAGUGGGGAAUAUUGCACAAUGGGCGCAAGCCUGAUGCAGCCAUGCCGCGUGUGUGAAGAAGGCCUUCGGGUUGUAAAGCAC